Molecule: ribosomal RNA, 720 nt
Filed under: bacterium IS14
Lineage: Bacteria
Description: bacterial SSU rRNA
Rfam family: Bacterial small subunit ribosomal RNA
Source: RNAcentral
UGCAAGUCGCACGAUGAAGCCCAGNUUGCUGGGUGGAUUAGUGGCGAACGGGUGAGUAACACGUGAGUAACCUGCCCCUGACUCUGGGAUAAGCGUUGGAAACGACGUCUAAUACUGGAUAUGACUACUGGUCGCAUGGCCUGGUGGUGGAAAGAUUUUUUGGUUGGGGAUGGACUCGCGGCCUAUCAGCUUGUUGGUGAGGUAAUGGCUCACCAAGGCGACGACGGGUAGCCGGCCUGAGAGGGUGACCGGCCACACUGGGACUGAGACACGGCCCAGACUCCUACGGGAGGCAGCAGUGGGGAAUAUUGCACAAUGGGCGAAAGCCUGAUGCAGCAACGCCGCGUGAGGGAUGACGGCCUUCGGGUUGUAAACCUCUUUUAGUAGGGAAGAAGCGAAAGUGACGGUACCUGCAGAAAAAGCACCGGCUAACUACGUGCCAGCAGCCGCGGUAAUACGUAGGGUGCAAGCGUUGUCCGGAAUUAUUGGGCGUAAAGAGCUCGUAGGCGGUUUGUCGCGUCUGCUGUGAAAUCCCGAGGCUCAACCUCGGGCUUGCAGUGGGUACGGGCAGACUAGAGUGCGGUAGGGGAGAUUGGAAUUCCUGGUGUAGCGGUGGAAUGCGCAGAUAUCAGGAGGAACACCGAUGGCGAAGGCAGAUCUCUGGGCCGUAACUGACGCUGAGGAGCGAAAGCGUGGGGAGCGAACAGGAUUAGAUACCCU